This 446-nucleotide ribosomal RNA is filed under the name uncultured bacterium. RNAcentral describes it as "partial 16S ribosomal RNA". It matches the Rfam family "Bacterial small subunit ribosomal RNA", at positions 338 to 795 of the family's 1533-position model. The record is from RNAcentral.
CCUACGGGGGGCAGCAGUCGAGAAUCAUUCACAAUGGGGGAAACUCUGAUGGUGCGACGCCGCGUGGGGGAAUGAAGGUCUUCGGAUUGUAAACUCCUGUUAUGUGGGAGUAAAUUAAAAAGAUAGUACCACAAUAGGAAGAGACGGCCAACGCGGUGCCAGCAGCCGCGGUAAUACAGAGGGCUCAAGCGUUAUUCGGAAUCAGUGGUCGUAAGGCGUGCGUAGGCGGUUGGGUAAGUCGUGUGUGAAAGGCGGGGGCUCAACCCGCGGACGGCACAUGAUACUGGGAGGCUAGAGUAAUGGAGGGGGAAGCGGAAUUCUCGGUGUAGCAGUGAAAUGCGUAGAGAUCGAGAAGAACACUCAUGGCGAAGGCAGGUUCCUGGACAUUAACUGACGCUGAGGCACGAAGGCCAGGGGAGCGAAAGGGAUUAGAUACCCUUGUAGUC